AUUAUUCUCCGUUAACCACUGCUGAUGGGGCCAGGCAAAAGAAUCACACAGUCACUGUUUCUGCUGGUUGAUUCAUCAGGACAGAUGGUUGUGAUUGUUGCAUCAUCAUCAUAGAGGUCAGAUCAUUGAGUGCUUCCAGUUGUCUGAUCCUGAGGGAUUCCAUCUGGUACAUGAAUGGCUGCUAAAAGGCUGCCCUUAACCUGGCUUUCCCACACAAUGGGGAAGCUGACUUCCGACCUCUGCAGGCUACAAGGGGAGGAGCCCAAGAAUGCUGUUUCUGGAGUCAGUCCGUCUGGGUUUGAAUCCUUGCCUUUCCAUGUAUUAAGGCAAAUGACUUCACUUUCUGAGCCUCAACUUCCGUAUUUGAAAAAUGGGGUAAUCUUAGAAUCUACUUCAUAUGAAUUAAAUGGGGUAAUCUUAGAAUCUACUUCAUACAACACAUUGCUGGAAUGUUUAUUUAUUUAUUUAUUUAUUUAUUUUAGGGCUGCACACACAGCAUAUGGAAGUUCCCAGGCUAGGGGUUGAAUCAGAGCUGUAGCUGUCGGCCUAGGCCACAGCCACAGCAAACACAGGAUCCUUAACCCACUGAGCAAGGCCAGGGAUUGAACCUGCGCCCACUUGGAUACUAGUCAGGCUUGUUACUGCUGAGCCACAACAGAACUCCAGCUGGCAUUUCUAAAGUGUUGAUUGCUAGUGCUGUGGUUAUGACUGUCGUUAUCAACAUUAUUAUGGAGCUGUUCCUCUCCCCUGACUUCAACAUGAAAAACUUCAGGAGUUCAUUCUGAUUGGCCCAGCUUGAGUCAUGUGCUCACUCCUGUGGUCAAGGGGGUGGGGAAUCAUGAUGGGUGGCUCCACUGGAUACAAAUGGAUGGUUGGAUGUGGGGUGUUGGUGCCUGAAUGAAGGAAAGUCUGCUUCUGGAAGAAGGAAGGGUGGGAUAAUGGGGACUAACAGGAGGUGUCCCCUCCAGGGAAUGAGGUCAGUGGAUAAAGAAAGGGACUGGAAUCUUCACUACCUGUUCCUCUCAUUUUGACAGCUGCAUACUUUCAUACAUUCUGCUUAAGUGAAUUUGACAUGAGGAUUUCCUAAAGGCAGGGAUCUGGUGUCUGCAGAAUCUAUUAUAGGUCCUAUUUGAUGACUUAGGUGCCACAUGGAGAGGCAGCAGGACCCAGGGUGGCCAGUUGUCAAGGUUGGCUGGCUGGGCAGAGUGCACAGCCAACAUCAUAGGGUGCCAUGUGCUUCUUCUUCUUCUUCAUUUUUNUUUUUUUUUUUUUUUGCUUUUUAGGGCUGCACCUUUGGCAUAUGGAGGUUCCCAGGCUAGGGGUCUAAUCAGAGCUAUAGCGGCCGACCUAUGUCACAGCCAUAGCAACACCAUAUUGGAGCCGCAUCUGUGACCUACACCACAGCUCACAGCAAUGCCAGAUCCUUAACCCACUGAGUGAGGCCAGGGUUCGAACGUGCAACCUCAUGUUCCUAGUCCUAUUUGUUAACCACUGAGCCACGAUGGGAACUCCUGCCAUGUGCUUCUUAAGCAAUUUCUUCAGGCUUUGGCCCACAGUGCCACUCUUCUUCCCAGCACCCACAGAAAAGUCCAUGGUCCUCUGGGAGGGAUCAGCUGUGCAGGUCUGACGCUGAACCUGUCUUAUCCGUGAAAGUGGCACAGUGGAGAGGCCAGUUUCAUGCUGUUUCUAUUCUAAUAAUGAUUGCACCACCUCUGCUGGAAUAAGGCCCAUCUGUAGAGCUCUGGCUGACACACGGCAUGUUUACUUUCCCUUCCCACCAAUCUCAGUCCAGAUGUGUAUGAUUUCACAUCUCCGCAGACAUCCACAUUUACGCGCCACACCUUUGGACAAAGGUCAGAUAACAAUGGGCAGAGCAAACACCACUAUAGCCCUCACCAUGUGCCAGGCACUCUGAUGCAGAAAGCAGGCACUGAGCCUUGCUGAGUUGGAGUCUGGUGUUUUUCAUUCCUGUGGAAGAUUUGAGACCCAAAGAGGGGAGAUUGUGUGUUUAAUAUCUAGAAGCCAGGAGCUGAAGAGGAGUGGCUUUUAUAGGCAGCUCACAGUAAAGAAGGGAACACAGCGAACAGCUCAUUAGAGGGUGUUGUGAUAGAUGCUGCAAGAGGGAAAGGAGUCGACCCGUGGCUGCUCAGAAGAGGGAGG
Molecule: long non-coding RNA, 2160 nt
Filed under: Sus scrofa (pig)
Lineage: Eukaryota; Metazoa; Chordata; Mammalia; Artiodactyla; Suidae
Description: lncRNA (ENSSSCG00025045575.1)
Source: RNAcentral